RNAcentral lists this long non-coding RNA (759 nucleotides) under Sinocyclocheilus anshuiensis. Its description in RNAcentral is "lncRNA (ENSSANG00000042951.1)". The record is from RNAcentral. Lineage: Eukaryota; Metazoa; Chordata; Actinopteri; Cypriniformes; Cyprinidae.
UCAUAAUUAUAGUCAUUUCAAUAAUUCUAACAUACCCACAUACAUGCAUGCGUAUUUUAAUAUGCACACUCAGAUGCUGCAAGAGAGAAGUGAAGAAGAAAAGAAUGUUCACUUGGAGAUGGAGACCUUCCUAAAGAGACAGCAUGCAGAGAAGUUACAGUUUUGGAUUCAGCAGUAUGAAAAAGAAAUGGAGAAGAAGGAGCAAGAGAUCACUGCUCUUCAGAAUAAAAGAAACAUCAACCAGGCACGAAUUCAGGAGCUGUCUAAGAAGUGCAGAGACAUGCAAUAGGAUAUCAUUGAGGACAGGAUGGAGAAGGAACAUUUGCGUGCACAGCUGGAGAAGGAGCAGAGGGACAGAGAUGCAGCAACUAAGAUCCAGGCCUGGUGGCGUGGGACUCUUGUACGUAGAGGACUAGGUUCUCCUAAGAAAGCAAGCAAAUCCAAGUCUAAAAAAGGCAAAAAGAAGAAGAAAUGAAGACUGAGACAAUAAAAGUUUUUUUUUUGUGGCUGCAAAAUAUCAAUCAAUUACAAAAGGAAAGCAAAUAUUUGCAAGAGCAGCAGAGUGAGAGUUUGUAUAUUAAAAAUGUAUUUUUAAGAUUUUUACUAGGGUUUAUAAGUCAUUACCAAACUAAGAUUUUUAGAUAAUUUUAGUUUAAGACAGAACUAUACCCAUAGUAAUUCUACCCAAGGGAAAUACUAACCAGAUUAUAGGUGACUCUAAAAGGUCACACAGGUUAGUUCUACUAGACAAAGAUGUGG